GUUGCUGGGAAACAUCUGCCGACGCCUGCGGACCGGCCGACAUGGCGNNNNNNNGGCGGCCUUCCUGCUCCUCGCGGCCCAGGUGAGGCUGCGUCGGCCCCGCCGGCCCCGCCGGUUGCGGCACCCGGGCCCUCUGCCCCAGCCCCGCGCAAGCCCCGACUGGCCUGGCCUGGGGGCCCGCCUCGGGUUUGCGCGCCUCCAGCGCGGCUGGCCCCCAGGCCCGGAGCUCGGCCGUGACCUUGCGGGCCUGUCCCCGGCCAGCCUCUCUUUCCUGCCUUGGAGCCUUCCCCAGCUGCAGCGUCACUCAGCUGUGCCGGGGUCUGAAGUUUGGGAAUUCCCUUACCUCCUCAGGCCCUGCUCUGUCUCGAGGUCUCCAACCGCCGCCGGGGGCGCCGCUGCCUGGCCCCGUGGCCUUGGGCAGGGGGCUGCCCCUCCCCGAGCCUCAGUUUCCCCUUGCGCGCGUUGUUAGCGCCCACCCCCGUGGUUGCGGUGAGCCGUCCAACGCGGCACCCAGUGCCUGACUGUGUCCGGGAGCGGCAAGGGGCCCAUCCUGGGAGUGGGGUCGAAUCGCCGCCCUGCAUUUUGUCCCGUGACCUUGGGCAAGGGAGGUCCCCUCUUUGGCCGUCUGUUGCGCUUCUGCAAAAGGAAGAGAGGAGCACAGCGAGGACUGAGCGGGAUGAUGCAUGGGGUGAUUUACGUGCGGCGUGCAUCUUCUUGGGCACUUAAGUGAAGGGUCUCCCCGGGGAGUGGGGGACCUGCCAUGAGCCGGCUAUGUACGUUAUCAUAAGCGCCUUUUUUAUUUUCAAGUCCUCUCUCCCCUGGGUUAUGCAGUUCAGGGAAUGGUGUCCCUACAGCCCUGCACCCACAGCCAUUAACCUUGAUGUAUCCACUCCAGCCCACCACCUCCACGUAUCUCCUGGUGGCCAGUGUUCUCUCUGUGGUCACUUUCGUCUCCCACAUUCUCCAAUCCAUCCUGGACACAGCAGGAGUGACCUCUUUGAAAGUGUGUCAAGUCUCGUGGCAUCCAGAUGAGAGCCUUCCCAUGGCUUUCAGUGCAUUUGGGAGGCCUCUGUGGUUUGGCUGCUUGGGAAGAAACUUCCUCUCCUUUUCUAUUUGCGGAGGGCACUCAGUUCUCUGGUCUUCCCCGUUUCCCUGGGAUGCCCCUGGUCAUCCUUGUGGUCUCAGCUUGCUUGUUCUUCCCUCCUCCCCAGAGACGCUCUCUGGGACGCCCCCUCCCCAGCCCCCAGCACUCCUCCCGAUGCUGCUCACUCAUUUCCUCGUCUGAGCAAGCUGAGGGCAGGGACUUUGAGCUCUCCAGACAUUUUGAAGGAGAACAAAGUGAGAAGUGGACAAAGGGCAAUGGGAGCACCAUGGAGAGAGUGACCUGGUUUGCUUGGGGAGGCUUUUCAGAAGCAGAGGCACCUAAAGGGUGUUCUGAAGGGUGGAUAAGAGUUUGCCAGGUCUCUCUCUCUCUCUCUCUCUCUCUCUCACACACACACACACACACACACACACACACACCAAAAAAAAAAAAAAAAAGUCCACGCUCCUGGAUAGGAAGAACAAAUAUUGUUAAAACGUCGCUAACUACUGAAAGCAAUCUACAUAUUCAAUGCAUUACCUAGCACUGAAUGCAUUACCCCAGGAUUGUUCAUGGAGCUAGAACAAACAAUCCUACAAUUUGUACGGAACCAGAAGAGACCCCGAAUAGCCAAUGCAAUCCUAAAAAAGAAAACUAAGGCUGGAGGCAUCACAAUCCCAGACUUCAAGCUGUAUUACAAAGCUGUAGUCAUCAAGACAGUAUGGUACUGGCACAAAAACAGACACUCAGAUCAAUGGAACAGAAUAGAGAACCCAGAUAUGGACCCACAGACGUAUGGCCAACUAACCUUUGAUAAAGCAGGAAAGAAUAUCCAGUGGAAUAAAGACAGUCUCUUCAGCAAGUGGUGCUGGGAAAACUGGACAGCGACAGGCAGAAGAAUGAACCUGGACCACUUUCUUAAACCAGACACAAAAAUAAACUCAACAUGGAUGACAGACCUAAACGUAAGACAGGAAGCCGUCAAAAUCUGAGGAGAAAGCAGGCAAAAACCUCUUUGAUCUUGGCCGCAGCAACUUCUUACUCAACACGUCUCCAGAGGCAAGGGAAACAAAAGCAAAAAUGAACUACUGGGACCUCAUCCAAAUAAAAAGCUUCUGCAUAGCGAAGGAAACAAUCAGGAAAACUGAAAGGCAGCUGACGGAAUGGGAAAAGUAUUUGCAAAUGACAUAUCAGAUAAAGGGUUAGUAUCCAAAAUCUAUAAAGAACUUAUCAAACUCAACACCCAAAAAACAAAUAAUCCAUGGGCAAAAGAGCUGAACAGACACUUCUCCAAAGAAGACAACCAGAUGGCCAACCGACACGUGAAAAAAUGCUCCACAUCACUCAUCAUCAGGGAAAUACAAAUCAAAACCACAAGGAGAUACCACCUCGCGCCUGUCAGAAUGUCUAACAUUAACAGCUCAGGCAACACAGAUGUUGGCGAGGAUGCAGACGAAGAGGAUCUCUUUUGCACUGCUGGUGGGAAACAGCCACUCUGGAAAACAGUCUGGAGCUUCCUCAAAAAACGAAAAAUAGAACUACCCUACAACCCAGCAAUUGCACUACUAGGCAUUUAUCCACGGGAUACAGGUGUGCUGUUUCGAAGGGACACUUGCACCCCUAUGUUUAUAGCAGCCCUAUCAACAAUAGCCAAAGUGUGGAAAGAGCCCAAAUGUUCAUUGACGGAUGAAUGGAUAAAGAAGAUGUGGUAUAAUACAAUGGAGUAUUACUCAGCAAUCAAGAAGAAUGAAAGCUUGCCAUUUGCAACAGUGUGGAUAGAACUAGAGUGUAUUAUGCUAAGGGAAAUUAGUGAGAGAAAGACAAAUAUGUGACUUCACUCGUGGAAGGGAAGCAAAAAUAAUACAAAUACAGGGAGGGGGACAAAAUAUAAGACUUUUUUUUUUUUUAAUGUUUAUUUUUGACAGAGACAGAGACAGAGUAGAAGCGGGGUGGGGCAGAGAGAGAGACACAGGAUCUGAAGCAGGCUCCAGGCUCUGAGCUGUCUGCACAGAGCCUGACGUGGGGCUCGAACUCAAGAACCGCGAGAUCGUGACCUGAGCCGAAGUCAGACGCUUAACCAACUGAGCCACUCAGGCGCCCCAAGAGACUCUUAAAGAUAGAGAACAAACUGAGGGCUGCUGGAGGGGUUGCGGGUGGGGGGAUGCGCUAAAUGGGCAAGGGGCAUUAAGGAGGACACUUGUUGGGAUGAGCACUCAGUGUUAUACGUAGGGGAUGAAUCACUGAAUUCUACUGAAAUCAUUGCACUAUAUGCUAACUAACUUGGAUGCAAAUUAAAAAUAAAUAUAUUAUUUUUAAAAAACGGGGAAAUUAAAAGCCGAAGCAAAUGUGACAAAAUAUUAAAGUGAGUUGAGGGGCGUCUGGGUGGCUCAGUUGGUUAAGCGUCUAGCUUGGGCUCAGGUCAUGAUCUCACAGUUCGUGAGUUCGAGCCCCAUGUCGGGCUCUGUGCUGACAGAGCCUGGAGCCUGUUUCAGAUUCUGUGCCUCCCUCUCUCUCUGCCCCUCCCCUGCUCACACUCUGUCUCUCUUUCAAAAAUAAACAAUAAAAAAAUACAGUGAGCUGAGCUGAGUACGUAUUUCAUACUAUCUCAUAAUAUAGUUAUUUUAUAAUAAAAAUAAAAAUUGUAGUAAGUAAAUAAUACAAAAUUAAGUAAAUAACUUCACAUUAAAAAAAAAAAGUUUGCUAGGUCUCAAGGCAGAGGGAGGGUGUUGCCGGUGAUGGGAGGAGCUUGAACAGGGGUGGAGGUGUGAGAGCUGAUAUUUUAUUUUGAGAAGGUGAAGAGGCCACUUUGGCGUGUAGGAUGAUAUCAUGCUCACGCCCUGAGAAAGACGACACCCCCAAGGAGGCCCUUCGGAUGCACUUGAAGGAGGCUCGCGGGAGGGCAGGGGGAGGGGCAGCGGUGGGCGUGGCUGGCGGCCGAGGGUAAAGGGCAGGCUUCGCCGCGGCCUCCUGGGCGGACCGAGGAGGGCAGUGCUCCCGGUGCUGGGGCGUUCGGGCUCUCUCCCGGGCGGGACCUCGACCUGCGCGCCAGCCGCGGAGAGCCUUGUGCGUGCCCUUCGCGGAACACGGCCCGGUCGGGUCUGUUGGCCGUGAGACGGGGCAGACGGCCCUUGGGCGUGCGGGUGUGGCUCUCUCUAGAAGUUUGGGUCCUGCUGCCUGGGAAGAAGACUAGCUUUCCACCGGGUAGGAGGCUGCUUGCCGACAGCCCUGAAUUCAUUUGCUACCAUUUUGUGACCCUGGCUGGGGGAUUCCCCAGAUAGACACAUCUCCCCCAGUGGCUACCGGAAGUGUACUGUCAAGGCCAGUAACAGACCCGGAGCAAAGUUGGUUCCCUCCCCGCCCCGGUACUCCCUUCCCCCUCCUCCACCUGUCUCCCCUCCUCUACUGGCCCCCCCUCCCCACCUGUCCCCUCUGCUCCUCCUGCACCUGUCUUCCUCUCCUCUAUCAGCCCAGGCCCUCCUCCACCUGUCCCCUCUUCUCCACCUGUCUUCACUCCUCCUCCANNNNNNNNNNNNNNNNNNNNNNNNNNNNNNNNNNNNNNNNNNNNNNNNNNNNNNNNNNNNNNNNNNNNNNNNNNNNNNNNNNNNNNNNNNNNNNNNNNNNNCCCCCAGUGGCUACCGGAAGUGUACUGUCAAGGCCAGUAACAGACCCGGAGCAAAGUUGGUUCCCUCCCCGCCCCGGUACUCCCUUCCCCCUCCUCCACCUGUCUCCCCUCCUCUACUGGCCCCCCCUCCCCACCUGUCCCCUCUGCUCCUCCUGCACCUGUCUUCCUCUCCUCUAUCAGCCCAGGCCCUCCUCCACCUGUCCCCUCUUCUCCACCUGUCUUCACUCCUCCUCCACCUGUCCCCUCUGCCCCUCCUCCACCUGUCCCCUCUUCUCCACCUGUCUUCACUCCUCCUCCACCUGUCCCCUCUUCUCCAUCUGUCCUCACUCCUCCACCUGUCCCCUCUUCUCCACCUGUCCCCUCUGCCCCUCCUCCACCUGUCACCACCCCUCCUCUGCCUCAGCAUCUCCAAGCUUCCUGGGUUCUUAUUUCUACCCCCUCUCCUCCUAAGACCUGCCAAGUCUUAGAGGGGAGGCUGCCUCUGGCCUGGACGCAUUGGCUCUUCUCAGACCCCCUGAUGUGGAAUGCAUUCGCGGUCUCCCUGAGUCACGGUCUCCCUCGCCAUUCCUGAACCUACUUGGUGGCCGUGACACGUCGGAAGGCGGCCUGUCCGUUAUCCCAGACCGGGACUGGCCAAGCCCCACUUGUAGCACAUUGGGUCCUUUUGAGGAGCAUCUACUGGUUCCUUUAACUCCGUGGGGGAGGAGACUGUACGCGGGCAUCCGACGGAAGCGCAGGUUGAUUUAGCAGGAGGCUGCUUGUGCCAAGUGUGGGGACGGAGGUCUGUACUCCGCAGUGACCUUUCUAGAAGCUUCUACUCGUUCCCCCUUUACACACGUGACAUUUUUCUCCAACAACCUGGGUCCCACAGAUCAGGGGUCAGCAAAGGUGUCCCGCAGAGGCCCAGAUGGUGAAUAUUUCUGGCUUUGUGGGCCACGUGGUCUGUGUAGCGACUGCCCGGCUCUGCCGUGGUCACUGAGAGCAGCCGGAAGCCCUGCGCACAGGAGCGGGUGGCCGCGCUCCAAUGAAACGUAUUCAGGAGCACGGAAGGUGGGGCGCAGGAGGCCGGUGGGUUGGGGAUCGGAUGUGCUCCACAGUGGCCCAUGGUGAGGAGGUGCUGGGGUCCUGAACACGGGGUGGCCCAUUGGAAAGAGCAGACGGCCAGGCACAGUACGCGGGGCCUCAGCCAGGGUGAAGGAUGCCCUUGGGGGACAGUCUGGCGGGAAGAAUCUGGAAGAGGGGGACAUUAGGAGUUAGGAAGUUCUGUCUCUGGUGGAGGGACUGAGGUGAGCGGAGGUUGGCCAGGGCAGGUCGGGGAAGGACACAGCCUUAGCGAGAUGCUAGGAGACCUCCGGUCAGCCUCGGGCGGCCCCUGGCCCUGUUGCCACGAGCCCGGGUUCUUAGAGAUGGGUGCUGUGUCAAGCACGGCUUCACAGAGCACACCCAGCAGUCCGCGUGGCCUUGGGUCCCUGGCUCAAGGCGGCAGACGGAAACGUCAGAGUGGAGAUGCCAGCCGGAAGAGAGGUGGCCGGUGCCUCGGAGAAGCGCAGGGCGGCCACCCAGUGCCUCCUGUUGGCCUCCAGGUUGCGGGUUUGGGAGGCCGGGGGGGUCGGUCCACGCUCCCGCCGCCACAAGUGACCAGGGCCCGGGUGAGAAGCUCCCGGAACAGCCGGGGCCUUGCUGUGUUCCCACCGAGGCUCUGGCCGGAUGAAAGCCCGUCAGGGCCCCAGGCCUGGUGUUGGGAGCCGCGAGCCAUCAGGACCCUCGGCCCCGACGGUGAGGUGUGUGUCUGGCGGUGCCAGCUGGGUCCCGCCGGUGCACGUGUGUCUCCUUGGCAGAUUCUUGGGGUACCAAGGAGUGAGUUUUCCAUCUCGGCCUUGAGGUGUUUGCAGCCCACGGGGAGCACGAGCUAGAGACACGGGGGCCCCAAGAGCCCUAGGUGCACACAGCAGGAUUCGGGGGUCAGGCGGGCGCAGGGCCCCCUGGGUGUGGUGGCUGGACUCAGCCUCCUGGCACCUCGCACAGCGUGUCUCUCCUGAGACCCCCUCCCCUCUCAGCAGACCCUGGGGAGCUACUCAGACUUGGGGCAAGCCUAGCGGCCAGCAGAGCAGCCAAGACCUGGGUGUCACAUGCCGCGUGGCCCGCUGGUGACAAAGCCCUCCUGAGGGACAGAGGUCAUGCUCUGCGCCCCUGCCCCAGGCCAGCGUAGGGGAGGAGCCGGGAGAGGUCUUGCAAAUCAAGUCCACCUGACGGCCAGGCAGCGGCUCCAGGGAGGGAUGGAGACAGGGAGCGGGGACACCUUUGUGUGAUGGAAUUGUCACAUAGAUUAAGCUGGCGUUCGGCAGAAAAGAGGGCUGUCGGCCUCUUCUGUCCCAGGCCCCCAGCCACCCCACUGCCCUCGAGGGCCGUCCAGUGCUCCGAGGACGCGGAUCUGCCCCUGUGCCUUGCUUUGAGUUCAGACGAAGCUUGCUGGAUCCUCCUGACCCUCUGGGGGUGGCCCUUCCCCUCCCUCCUCCUCCCUCCUUCUGGGGAGCCGGGGCUGUGUGGGGUUAGGGUUAGGUGUGUGGGGAGGCAGGCUCUGGCAGGGACAACUGUGCGCGCCCUGAUGAUGACGUCAGCACGACCCUCCUCUGUGGCGAAGUCUGGCAGUUCCCAGCCACGCCCCAGGGCAAGGGGUUCAGUCCUGACCUGGGAUCCCACUGGCUGCCAGGAUCCCACUGACCGGAUCCCACUGGCCGGUCACAUCACUGGGUCUGACGCGCCCCCGGAAAGUUGGCACCAGGGGCCUGGACCCAGCUGGCCUCGCUGGUCAGGGCCAGAUUUUCCAGGAGCCUGGUUUCCAGGGUCAGGGGCAAUCCCCAAACCUGCUGGGGUGCAGAAAAGCUCCUCCAGGCCUCCUGCCUGGCCCUGUGCUCCCGGCCUCUGCCUGGAGCCCCUGGACAGACCCGCUGGCUCCCCACGUCCCCCUCGUGACGGAGCCGUGGGGGUUUCAUUCUCCCCGUCCCGUCGAUCCUUGGAGGGCCCCGUGACGUGGUGCUGUCCCGGCCGUGAGAGCCACGGCCACGGCCAGCACCCAGGUCUCCCUCGAGAAGCUUGUCCCUGCCUUGUUCCUCUGCCGUAAGAUGCGGAUGGAGGUGUCCCAUCCGUCCUGUCCAGGGAAGAAACCAGCCCAAACCCUGAGCUGGGGGGUGGGGGUUGUCCUCCUUGUCAAGCCCCGGUGCUGAGCUCUCUGACUCACCGCCCUGUCACCCCAGGUGGCCUGUGAGUACGGCAUGGUGCACGUGGUCUCCGAGUCAGGGGGCCCCAGAGGCAAGGACUACUGCAUUCUCUACAACCCUCAGUGGGCCCACCUGCCCCACGACCUGAGCAAAGCGGUGAGUACCCACUGGGGCGUCCCCUCUGGGGCCCUGCAGGCCCGGAGUGCUCUGGGGUGCCCCCUCCUGACUUGGGGUCCGGUCUGUGUUGCUGGCUGCCACCCUCCGCUCCCCAGCCUGCUGUCUGAGGGGACUGCUACAAGUCUUACCCUGCAGGGAACCAGCUGGAGGACAGAGGAAGGGCCUCAGCUGGGAAACCAACGUGGGGGGCCUGGUCACACUUGAGGGGCUGCUGGGGUCUCAGACGACCGUAGAGGGGCCCCAUCACCUCUCUGGGGCUUGGUUUCCUUGGUCAGAAACAAAAGGACGUUUGGGUGGUGUUGAGGCACAGCCCCUGCCGGGGGCGCUGGCCACCCCCCACGUGCUGGAUGGGCUUGUGGGUGAUUCUCACUGCCGAGGCCACGGCUCCCGCCUGCCCAGCCCGUGUUCCGUUUGCAGUGGAUGCUGGGAAGGUUUCUGGGGGCUUUUCUCUGAGCGCACGCCACCCCCUGCCCCUUCCGUUGGCCUCGCGCUCAGCCGUGUGGACGUGUGUGUGUGUGUGUGUGUGUGUGUGUGUGUGUGUGCGGCCCCCCACUGACUUUUCUAGAUCAGGUGGUGUCAACGCCCCCUUCCCCAGUCCCUCCUGCAGCUGCGGGACUGGACGGCCUCUGUGCUCUGCUCUCCGCCUGACCUCCCGGCCAAAGGCUUCAGCAACCAGAUCCCGCUGGUGGCGCGGGGAAACUGCACCUUCUACGAGAAAGUGCGGCUGGCCCAGGGCGGCGGGGCGCGCGGACUGCUCAUCGUCAGCAGGGAGACACUGGUAGGGCCCCGGGGCCUCGAGACCGGGGUUUGGUUUGCUGACCGUGGCUGCGGACCCGUGUCUCUUGGAGGGGGACCUGUUCCUGAGCAGUCGCGGGGGCUCUGGGGAGACCGGAUCCCAUCUCGCUCUACAAGGCCUCGGGGCAGAGCUCGGGGGUACCCUCUGAGGAGCAGCUGGCAUGGGCCCACAUCCCACGUGCCUGCCUCUCCCCCAGGCAGGCCCCCCUCCCCCCCCCCAGAGCAGAGUGACACCUGAGCAACCUGACCCCAAGGCUUGAACACGGAAGGAGAGCUUUUCCUCCCCCGGUGGGGAGGGGCAGACCCCCCCCCCCCGCCACACACACACACACCCCGGCCCAAGCUGCCUCCGGGAGGGCUAGCUCUUCAGGCCGCCUCGCCCUUGGGAAGCCAAGGGCCCCCCUCCCGCCACACCCUCCUCUCGGCCCCCAGGUCCCUCCAGGAGGCAACAAGACACAGUACGAGGAGAUCGGCAUUCCCGUGGCCCUGCUCAGCUACAAAGACAUGCUAGACAUUUUCAAGGUAGGGUUUCCCACGUCCUCUGGUCUGCGGCUGUUGCCAGGCCGUGAGUAUCUGGCGGGCAGGGGUGGGCAGGGACCCACGAGUGAGGCCGCCCACCCGGGGCCGGUGGUGACACUGACCCGUGGGAACGGAGACGCUGGCCCCAGCGGUCAGAGCGCCCAGGCUCCGGGGCCUCUGUGCCGAGCGGCAGCCGGACACUGGCUUCCGGGCCAGACCGGCCGGCCCCGCCCACACGCCAGAGACCCUGAGCUUGGCUCUCCCUGCCCACACACGGCCCCGUCUGACCAGAGGCCUGUGUGCACCCACCAUCGGGGGAGUUGUUGGUUCCAGAACAGGCGAGCUUCCAGACACAAUUAAAAUGGAAACGUUCAAUCUUUGUGGAAGCUUCUGGCAAUUUGCAGGACAUGUCUCGAUCCUGAUUGCAGCCUCACAGCUCCCCCAAGGGAACCAUUGUCGGCCUCCUGCAUGCUUCCCGGGACGACGUCCCCACUCCCGCACGCGCACACGCAUCUAGGUUUAGGAUUCGUGUCCCCGCACGCGCGUGGGCCCCUUCACCGGACGUCGUGUGACACUCGUUCCGACAGUUGACUUCUCUGGGGUGGGAGUGGCAGGCGAAGGCUCUCCCCGGGCCCCGGCUCCCCACGCGUGGGCUGGUCUGGGCUCUCUGGGUGGCCGAGGGGGCGGGACGGCAGCCCCCGCCUUGAGCUCUGGUGCCUUCCCCGAGGCAGAGUUUUGGCCGAUCGGCGAGGGCAGCGCUGUAUGCCCCCAACGAGCCCAUGCUUGACUACAACAUGGUCAUCAUCUUCGUCAUGGCCGUCGGCACCGUCGCCCUCGGGGGCUACUGGGCCGGGAGCCGGGACGUGAGGAAGUGAGUGUCCCGGGGAGACCUCUCCCUGGCCGCCCAGGGAAGCCCGUGACGCGGUCGGUGCCGGGUUGGGGGUCCGCGGGUGGUCCUAGCACUGGCCGAGGGCAUCGCGCCUCUUUCCAUCAAAAGCGGCCGUCACGGCUUGGCUCCUCCUGGGGCUGGGGCCCGCCUGGCAGCCCCUCGCCGCGUGGUCUCGCGAGGUCCCCGGGGUGGGGUCCGGCUCUCUCGUCGAAGGGACGGCAGGGAUGUGUGAUGGGCGUGGAGGGGCCGCCCCUCAGCCCCGCGGACGCCUGCGUCCUGCUGCCCCUGCCCGCCCCUCCCCGUCCCCGUGCCGGCCGGCAGGGUGCCCCUGACCCGGCUGUGCCUCCCAAGAAGGUCCAUGAAACACAAGCGGGAUGACGGGCCCGAGAAGCGGGAGGACGAGGCCGUGGACGUGACGCCCGUCAUGAUCUGUGUCUUCGUGGUCAUGUGCUGCUCCAUGCUGGUGUUGCUGUACUACUUCUACGACCAGCUCGGUGCGCCCCCGGCUCACCAGAGGGACGCCGAGGCCCGUACCCCCGCUCCCCGGUCCCGGGUCCCCCCUCCACCUGCUUGCGGGGUUCCACUUGAGAAGGCGGUGGUGGGGCGAACGCGGGCCGCCACCGCCGGCCCGAAGGAGGGGACCUCUGCUCGGGGAACUGUCCCUCUCGUUACCAGCUGCCGGCCACCCAGCUAGGGUGCACGAACACCUGGAGCCCUUUCUCGGGCGGGGGGCCAGGGUGGGAGACCCAGGUGGCCCCCGGCCCUCAACGCUCGCCCCACCCCGCCCCGCAGUCUAUGUGAUCAUAGGGAUCUUCUGCCUGUCCUCCUCCACGGGCCUCUACAGCUGCCUGUCUCCACUGGUCCAGAGGCUGCCGUUCGGCAGAUGUAGGUAAGCCCCCCGCGGGAGGCCCCUGCCCGGCCCUGCACCCCCGGCGCCGCUCACUGAGGUCCCACCUUGCCACCUUUCCUCGGCCUGUCCCUGGUGCGGUCUCCCGUCUCCCGGCCCCUGGAGCUCCAAGCUCUGCUUCAGUGGUGCCGAGGACCCCCUCCCUGUCCUGUGGCCCCCGGCCAGUCUGGCGUGGCGUGGGCAGGCCACGCGUGCUCACUCAGUGCAGGCUGGGGCUCGCGGCCUCAGGAGUAGGGCGGAGCAGAGAGGCGGGUGGUGGUUCCCCAGCCUCUCUCUCCCUGCAUCCCAUUCCGGGUCAGGCCCAGUGUCGACACCGGGGCUGAAGCGGGGCGAUGUGGAUGCAUGUGGGUCCAGGGCAGGGGCGGCAGGGCAGGGCCGUGUGGCCGAAGGCGCUGCCGGUCCAGGCCCCUGGGGCCCUCGGCCGCCAGGGGCCAGUGGCCGAGCGCUGAAAGGUUUGAAGGAGGGCAGGGCCGGCUCGGCGCUGGCUGGGGUCUGCCCACCCCCACGUGCCAACCCCUGCUCUGUCUGCCCUGGACCUGGGGGGCCUCCCUUCUAGAAGUCAAUUAAGAGGUCAGGGCAGAGUUCAAUAGGGAACGGAGGCGGGGGCAGCAGGAGGCCCCGUAAGGAUGAGGGGCCCAGGGUUUGGGGCAGGGGUGGAAGUGACCCUCUGGGUGCUGGGUGGAGGUGAGGAACAAGCUGGCCCUGACAGCUGCGCCCCCCCCCCCCGCCCCCAGGGUCCCCGACAACAGCCUGCCCUACUUCCACAAGCGGCCUCGGGUCGGCAUGCUGCUCCUGGCGCUGCUCUGCUUGGCCGUCAGCGUGGUGUGGGGUGUCUUCCGGAACGAGGACCAGUGAGUGCCCCCCACCGCGGGCUGUCCUCAGGUGCCCUCUGUGCUCGUCUCCCCGCGACCGUGAGCCGGGCUGUGUGGCGGCCAGGUGCCGCCCGCGUCCGGUGCCACUGGGUUUGUCGGCUGCCACGUGAACCGUGAUUGGAAUGUGGAUAUGGUUCCCGCGAAGCCUCCCGGCCCCGGGCGCCCUGAGCGAGCGCGUGGCCUCCGGGGUGCCCGCUGGUGCAGGGAGGCCCUGGCCGCCGGCCCCUGACACCACCUGGCGCUCCCUCCGAGCCUUUUCUGGGGCGGUUAACCGCUCUUGGCCGCGCUGCCGUUUGGAGCCACGACAGCUUUAAUUGGGCAGAAGGAAAACGUGAAAAUAUUUUGAGUCCUUUGUACACAAAGGGAACACGAGCUCCCACGGUUAGAUUCGAGCCACAAGACUCGCUCUGUUCUUUAAAAUUAGAGCAGGCCCAGUUCCCUCUGCGUCUGGGCGCCCACUGGCCGCCCGCAAGCCUCCUCUUUGUUCUUUGCGGCUGCCCCGGCCGGGAGAUGUUUUCAUCCCGGUCUGAUGAGUAACCUGGGCCGCGGCCUCCUUGCCGCCCCAGCGCGGGCGAGCCUGUGGACCGGGCGGGGUGGCUUGUGUGUGUGUGUGGGGGGGAGCUCCCUGCAGCUGCUGGGGUGACAGUCUUACCCGCCCCCCCCNCCCCCCCCCCCCCCCCCCCCCCCCGCCGCCACCUUGCAGUCCCUGAGCUCCCAUUUCUGGCACCAAGAGAUUUGGUGUAGAACCUGGCUGGCGAGCAUUUGGCUUUGCUAAAUCACAUAAAAAAUAGUUUUGAAGCAAACCCGAGUCCAGUAGAGUCCAAUAGUUGCACAGUGUCCCCACCCCAUCCCCCCGCCCCGUCCCGUGAUGUGGGGGUGAACGCCACCACCCAAGAGAGACAGCCCCUGAGCGUGUGCACCCAUUCCUGCCUCACUCCCCCCGCCUCCCCCCCCAGCCUUGGUCCCGUGCCUGUGUCUUCACAGCAUGGGGUCGGGCUGGGAACGGACAGCUUGCACAAGCUGGGAGCCAAGGUGGCCAAGGAGGGAGCGACCCGCCGGGUCAUAGCUCUUGGUGGAGCCCCUGCCCCAGCGGGUGACCACCACUCUGCUCCCCAGGUGGGCCUGGAUCCUUCAGGACGCACUGGGCGUCGCCUUCUGCCUCUACAUGUUGAAAACCAUCCGCCUCCCCACUUUCAAG
RNAcentral lists this long non-coding RNA (13278 nucleotides) under Lynx pardinus (Iberian lynx). The record is from RNAcentral. Lineage: Eukaryota; Metazoa; Chordata; Mammalia; Carnivora; Felidae.